This 1451-nucleotide ribosomal RNA is filed under the name uncultured organism. Its description in RNAcentral is "16S ribosomal RNA". It matches the Rfam family "Bacterial small subunit ribosomal RNA". The record is from RNAcentral.
CGAACGCUGGCGGCGUGCCUAAUACAUGCAAGUAGAACGCUGAAGAGAGGAGCUUGCUCUUCUUGGAUGAGUUGCGAACGGGUGAGUAACGCGUAGGUAACCUGCCUUGUGGCGGGGGAUAACUAUUGGAAACGAUAGCUAAUACCGCAUAACAAUGGAUGACACAUGUCAUUUAUUUGAAAGGGGCAAUUGCUCCACUACAAGAUGGACCUGCGUUGUAUUAGCUAGUAGGUGAGGUAACGGCUCACCUAGGCGACGAUACAUAGCCGACCUGAGAGGGUGAUCGGCCACACUGGGACUGAGACACGGCCCAGACUCCUACGGGAGGCAGCAGUAGGGAAUCUUCGGCAAUGGGGGCAACCCUGACCGAGCAACGCCGCGUGAGUGAAGAAGGUUUUCGGAUCGUAAAGCUCUGUUGUAAGUCAAGAACGAGUGUGAGAGUGGAAAGUUCACACUGUGACGGUAGCUUACCAGAAAGGGACGGCUAACUACGUGCCAGCAGCCGCGGUAAUACGUAGGUCCCGAGCGUUGUCCGGAUUUAUUGGGCGUAAAGCGAGCGCAGGCGGUUUGAUAAGUCUGAAGUUAAAGGCUGUGGCUCAACCAUAGUUCGCUUUGGAAACUGUCAAACUUGAGUGCAGAAGGGGAGAGUGGAAUUCCAUGUGUAGCGGUGAAAUGCGUAGAUAUAUGGAGGAACACCGGUGGCGAAAGCGGCUCUCUGGUCUGUAACUGACGCUGAGGCUCGAAAGCGUGGGGAGCGAACAGGAUUAGAUACCCUGGUAGUCCACGCCGUAAACGAUGAGUGCUAGGUGUUGGAUCCUUUCCGGGAUUCAGUGCCGCAGCUAACGCAUUAAGCACUCCGCCUGGGGAGUACGACCGCAAGGUUGAAACUCAAAGGAAUUGACGGGGGCCCGCACAAGCGGUGGAGCAUGUGGUUUAAUUCGAAGCAACGCGAAGAACCUUACCAGGUCUUGACAUCCCGAUGCUAUUUCUAGAGAUAGAAAGUUACUUCGGUACAUCGGUGACAGGUGGUGCAUGGUUGUCGUCAGCUCGUGUCGUGAGAUGUUGGGUUAAGUCCCGCAACGAGCGCAACCCCUAUUGUUAGUUGCCAUCAUUCAGCUGGGCACUCUAGCGAGACUGCCGGUAAUAAACCGGAGGAAGGUGGGGAUGACGUCAAAUCAUCAUGCCCCUUAUGACCUGGGCUACACACGUGCUACAAUGGUUGGUACAACGAGUUGCGAGUCGGUGACGGCAAGCUAAUCUCUUAAAGCCAAUCUCAGUUCGGAUUGUAGGCUGCAACUCGCCUACAUGAAGUCGGAAUCGCUAGUAAUCGCGGAUCAGCACGCCGCGGUGAAUACGUUCCCGGGCCUUGUACACACCGCCCGUCACACCACGAGAGUUUGUAACACCCGAAGUCGGUGAGGUAACCUUUCGGAGCCAGCCGCCUAAGGUGG